This 403-nucleotide ribosomal RNA is filed under the name bacterium. RNAcentral's name for it is "partial 16S ribosomal RNA". It matches the Rfam family "Bacterial small subunit ribosomal RNA", at positions 355 to 776 of the family's 1533-position model. The record is from RNAcentral.
UGGGGAAUAAUGCACAAUGGGGGAAACCCUGAUGCAGCGACGCCGCGUGAACGAAGAAGGUAUUCGUAUCGUAAAGUUCUGUCCUAUGGGAAGAUAAUGACAGUACCAUAGAAGAAAGCUCCGGCUAAAUACGUGCCAGCAGCCGCGGUAAUACGUAUGGAGCGAGCGUUGUCCGGAAUUAUUGGGCGUAAAGGGUACGCAGGCGGUUUAAUAAGUCGAAUGUUAAAGAUCGGGGCUCAACCCCGUAAAGCAUUGGAAACUGAUAAACUUGAGUAGUGGAGAGGAAAGUGGAAUUCCUAGUGUAGUGGUGAAAUACGUAGAUAUUAGGCGGAAUACCAGUAGCGAAGGCGACUUUCUGGACACAAACUGACGCUGAGGUACGAAAGCGUGGGGAGCAAACAGG